AUAGCCACCCUUCUAGAUUAUUCGUUAUCACCGCUUUUCCACACUAAAGUAAUCCAUAUAUAUGUUAUCUUCUUUAACUAAUAUAGAACAGAGGCUUGGGUAUUUUCAAAGACAUUUGCCAGCCUCUGUCUUGUCCUCUGGGCAAUGAAAUAUAUGGCAUCUGAGGUUUAGUUCUACUCAAAUCAAUAAAAAUAUGGGUUUACCUAAGCCACUGCUUCUUCUGCUGUUGCUUACAACAAUUGUUUCUACAUCACAGAAACCAAUAGUUACAGAAGCAAGGCCACUUUCCCAACAAAGAUUUUCAGAGAUUUUCUCGACACUUGGAGUUGCUUGCAAGUGUUGUGAUGGCGAAAAGGGUGAAUGCACGAGUACAUGGACAGGGUCUUGCUCUAAGCUCCAAUGCCUUCCCUGGAAAUUAAACUAGCUUGUUUUACACUGUAAUUUUUGUUUUUUGGGGACGUUGUUGCACAUAGUUCAGUGUUCUGUUUACCAACUAUAUCUAUAUGAUAUGCGUUAAUCGAAUUGGGUUAUUUUA
Quercus lobata is the source of this 535-nucleotide long non-coding RNA. RefSeq lists it as uncharacterized. Lineage: Eukaryota; Viridiplantae; Streptophyta; Magnoliopsida; Fagales; Fagaceae. The transcript has 2 exons. The record is from RefSeq and is a predicted model, not a curated record.